CUGGCAAGAGCCUUAGCAAACAAAACCUGGCUGUGUGACCUUGGGCCUACAGCUCUCCCUCUCAAGAGUCACCGGGCCUUUGCGGUGCCUCCCCGCGCAAGCUCGCCCCGCCGAGGGGACCGGCCCGGCCAGCCCGGGGAAGGGGCGAGGAGCAGGACCCCCGGGGGCGCCGGCUUGCCAGGGCGUCCCCUCCCCAAUCCCGCGACUUCCAGGGACAGCUCGAAGGUGAGCUCCUGGGAGGCCGCCCGCGCUCCGGCACGGCCCGCUCGCCGAACAAUAACAGUAAAUAACGCUGCCUUGUCAACGUAAUAAAAACGGAAACGGUUACAA
This is a long non-coding RNA of Cynocephalus volans (Philippine flying lemur), 330 nucleotides long. RefSeq lists it as uncharacterized. NCBI's taxonomy places the organism in Eukaryota, Metazoa, Chordata, Mammalia, Dermoptera, Cynocephalidae. The record is from RefSeq and is a predicted model, not a curated record. The transcript has 2 exons.